RNAcentral lists this ribosomal RNA (433 nucleotides) under uncultured bacterium. RNAcentral's name for it is "partial 16S ribosomal RNA". It matches the Rfam family "Bacterial small subunit ribosomal RNA", at positions 29 to 507 of the family's 1533-position model. The record is from RNAcentral.
AACGAACGCUGGCGGCAUGCCUAACACAUGCAAGUCGAACGAGACCUUCGGGUCUAGUGGCGCACGGGUGCGUAACGCGUGGGAACCUGCCUUUAGGUUCGGAAUAACUCAGAGAAAUUUGAGCUAAUACCGGAUGAUGUCUUCGGACCAAAGAUUUAUCGCCUUUGGAUGGGCCCGCGUUGGAUUCGCUAGUUGGUGGGGUAAAGGCCUACCAAGGCGACGAUCCAUAGCUGGUCUGAGAGGAUGAUCAGCCACACUGGGACUGAGACACGGCCCAGACUCCUACGGGAGGCAGCAGUGGGGAAUAUUGGACAAUGGGCGAAAGCCUGAUCCAGCAAUGCCGCGUGAGUGAUGAAGGACUUAGGGUUGUAAAGCUCUUUUACCCGAGAUGAUAAUGACAGUAUCGGGAGAAUAAGCUCCGGCUAACUCCGUG